This 72-nucleotide transfer RNA is filed under the name Phycisphaerales bacterium. RNAcentral describes it as "tRNA-Thr". It matches the Rfam family "tRNA". Rfam says of the family: Transfer RNA (tRNA) molecules are approximately 80 nucleotides in length. Lineage: Bacteria; Pseudomonadati; Planctomycetota; Phycisphaerae; Phycisphaerales. The record is from RNAcentral.
GCCAGCGUAGCUCAACGGUAGAGCACCGCUUUUGUAAAGCGGUGGUUGUGGGUUCGAUUCCCACCGCUGGCU